AUCCAACUGACGAGUCCGAAAUAGGACGAAGCGCGGGUCCUCGAU
This 45-nucleotide non-coding RNA is filed under the name Schistosoma curassoni. Lineage: Eukaryota; Metazoa; Platyhelminthes; Trematoda; Strigeidida; Schistosomatidae. The record is from RNAcentral.